ACCCUAGAUAGGAGGAGAGAUCAUCAGAGGUAUUAUAGCCAUAGAUAUAGAACCCUAGACAGUAGGAGAGAUCAUCAGAGGUAUGUUAGCCCAUAGAUAUAGAACCCUAGAUAGGAGGAGAAAUCAUCAGAGGUAUUAUAGCCAUAGAUGUAUAACCCUAGAUAGGAGGAGAAAUCAUCAGAGGUAUGUUAGAUAUAGAACCCUAGACAGGAGGAGAGAUCAUCAGAUGUAUUAUAGCCAUAGAUAUAGAACCCUAGACAGGAGGAGAGAUCAUCAGAGGUAUGUUAGCCCAUAGAUAUAGAACCCUAGACAGGAGGAGAGAUCAUCAGAGGUAUUAUAGCCAUAGAUAUAGAACCCUAGAUAGGAGGAGAGAUCAUCAGAGGUAUGUUAGCCCAUAGAUAUAGAACCCUAGACAGGAGGAGAGAUCAUCAGAGGUAUUAUAGCCAUAGAUGUAGAACCCUAGAUAGGAGGAGAAAUCAUCAGAGGUAUGUUAGAUAUAGAACCCUAGAUAGGAGGAGAGAUCAUCAGAGGUAUUAUAGCCAUAGAUAUAGAACCCUAGACAGGAGGAGAGAUCAUCAGAGGUAUUAUAGCCAUAGAUAUAGAACCCUAGAUAGGAGGAGAGAUCAUCAGAGGUAUGUUAGCCCAUAGAUAUAGAACCCUAGACAGGAGGAGAGAUCAUCAGAGGUAUUAUAGCCAUAGAUAUAGAACCCUAGACAGGAGGAGAGAUCAUCAGAGGUAUGUUAGAUAUAGAACCCUAGAUAGGACGAGAAAUCAUCAGAGGUAUUAUAGCCAUAGAUGUAUAAUCCUAGACAGGAGGAGAGAUCAUCAGAGGCAUUAUAGCCAUAGAUGUAGAACCCUAUGGUCUGUGGUUAUAGCUAGUGUAGUAUUGUAUUGUUCUCAUGACAUCAUGAGGUGUUCUAUGGUUGUGUAAUGAAGGAGUGUCGGUGAACUGCUGUGCUGACGUGAUGAGUAACUAAGCUUGCCUGUGAGCUGAAGACUUGUUAGCUUCCUCAAGCUAAUGCCUGUAGGCUUUAGUUCAGCUCGCUAACACAGUCCUGUGAUGUGUCGGAGACUCCGGUCCGAACCCAGAUGGUCCAACCCUCACUGGACAGAAACACUAGGGUUGUUACUCCACAGUGAUGUCAUGACAUGAUAAAGAAGCCAGAAGAACACCCCGGCCCCUAGACCGUCUACUCUACACAGACUCUACAUAUUCAAAUAGUUCCUCGGUCCUCAUUAAAAUAAUGGCAAAUUCCAAAUGGGAAUAUGGGGGUAGGCUGGGGAUUCAAUCAGGCAGUAGGAAUUGGUUUAGGCUGCAGAGCCCACAUGGUGCACUGGAUAAUGCCUGGUGGGAUAAAGUGUGUGUGCAGCAGCUGAUGUCAUGUGUCUGGGGGUAAUGAGAAGUGACAUGCGUCCGUAACCUGGUUUGGGAGGGGCUCCCCGGAGGGGUCCCAGUCCGUGUGUGUGUGGGGGGGGGGGUCAUCUGAUGCUGGGCCAUCUGUUACUGCACCAUAGAAACCAAAUAAUAAUGUCUUUACUGCGCCAUAGAAACCAAAUAAUAAUGUCUUUAAUGCGCCAUAGAAACCAAAUAAUCAUGUCUUUACUGCGCCAUAGAAACCAAAUAAUCAUGUCUUUACUGCGCCAUAGAAACCAAAUAAUCAUGUCUUUACUGCGCCAUAGAAACCAAAUAAUCAUGUCUUUACUGCGCCAUAGAAACCAAAUAAUCAUGUCUUUACUGCGCCAUAGAAACCAAAUAAUCAUGUCUUUACUGCGCCAUAGAAACCAAAUAAUCAUGUCUUUACUGCGCCAUAGAAACCAAAUAAUCAUGUCUUUACUGCGCCAUAGAAACCAAAUAAUCAUGUCUUUACUGCGCC
This is a long non-coding RNA of Oncorhynchus tshawytscha (Chinook salmon), 1874 nucleotides long. RefSeq lists it as uncharacterized. The record is from RefSeq and is a predicted model, not a curated record. The transcript is spliced from 2 exons. Lineage: Eukaryota; Metazoa; Chordata; Actinopteri; Salmoniformes; Salmonidae.